Molecule: non-coding RNA, 17 nt
Filed under: Mus musculus (house mouse)
Lineage: Eukaryota; Metazoa; Chordata; Mammalia; Rodentia; Muridae
Source: RNAcentral
CUUUCUCAGACACUGUG